UACGAAGGGUGCAAGCGUUACUCGGAAUUACUGGGCGUAAAGCGUGCGUAGGUGGUGAGUUAAGUCUGUCGUGAAAGCCCCGGGCUCAACCUGGGAAUGGCGAUGGAUACUGGCUCGCUAGAGUGCGGUAGAGGAGAGUGGAAUUCCCGGUGUAGCAGUGAAAUGCGUAGAUAUCGGGAGGAACACCAGUGGCGAAGGCGGCGAUCUGGGUCGAUACUGACGCUGAGGUGCGAAAGCGUGGGGAGCAAACAGG
Molecule: ribosomal RNA, 253 nt
Filed under: uncultured bacterium
Lineage: Bacteria
Description: partial 16S ribosomal RNA
Rfam family: Bacterial small subunit ribosomal RNA
Source: RNAcentral